GAGGRAGUAAAAGUCGUAACAAGGUUUCCGUAGGUGAACCUGCGGAAGGAUCAUUAUCGAACAUGUGAGAGAGGGCUGUCGCUGGCUCUGACAGGGCAUGUGCACGUCCUUUCUCUCGCUCACACCAUACCCUUGUGCACCUUCUGUAGGUCCUCGCGAGAGGAUCUAUGUCUUUUNGUCUUCACACCCGAUCGUAUGGCCANAGAAUGUAUCUCUAUGUUGUAAAUACAACUUUCAGCGACGGAUCUCUUGGCUCUCGCAUCGAUGAAGAACGCAGCGAAUCGCGAUAAGUAAUGUGAAUUGCAGAUUUCCAGUGAAUCAUCGAAUCUUUGAACGCAUCUUGCGCUCCUUGGUAUUCCAUGGAGCAUGCCUGUUUGAGUGUCAUUUGAUGUCUCAACCACAUCUUCCUUGAUGUGGCUUGGAGUUUGGGAGCUUGCUGGCGUCGAGAGACGUCUGCUCUCCUGAAAUGCAUUAGCAAAGACCAGCGAUGCACGGCCUUUCGACGUGAUAAUGAUCGUUGUGGGCUGGAAUGUCUAGUGGUCGUGUUGCUUCCAAUCCCAUGACAAAGAGGGGUGCUCAGUCNACUUGGUGACUAGUUGGCCUCUGGCUAGCGAACACAAGAUGGCUCGAGUCUCUCUUCCAUGUCAGUUUGACAACUUGACCUCAAAUCAGGAGA
This 676-nucleotide ribosomal RNA is filed under the name uncultured Boletaceae. RNAcentral's name for it is "eukaryotic LSU rRNA". The stretch from base 230 to 384 matches the Rfam family "5.8S ribosomal RNA". The record is from RNAcentral. Lineage: Eukaryota; Fungi; Basidiomycota; Agaricomycetes; Boletales; Boletaceae.